Molecule: RNase P RNA, 348 nt
Filed under: unidentified bacterium SM-A21
Lineage: Bacteria
Description: partial RNAase P
Rfam family: Bacterial RNase P class A
About the family: Ribonuclease P (RNase P) is a ubiquitous endoribonuclease, found in archaea, bacteria and eukarya as well as chloroplasts and mitochondria.
Source: RNAcentral
GAGGAAAGUCCGGGCAACAAAGAGCGCCAUACUUCCUAACGGGAAGGAGGCUGACUGGAGACGGUCAGUUUACAGAAAGUGCCACAGAAAAUAUACCGUUCCGAUAGCUAUCGGGAUAAGGGUGAAAAGGUAGGGUAAGAGCCUACCGCUCCGCCAGUGAUGUCGGGGGCAUGGUAAACCUUAUGGGUUGAAAGAUCAAAUAGGUUCCGCAUUGGAUUAAGUUCCAAGAAGAGUUGCUCGCUCUUACGCGGAAUGGGUAGAUCGAUGGAUCCUGAUUGUGAAGUCAGGGCUAGAUAAAUGGCAAGAAUCCUUUUGGUUUAUAUCAGAUGGAAACAGAACCCGGCUUAC